Long non-coding RNA from Salvia splendens (bonfire salvia), 262 nucleotides. RefSeq lists it as uncharacterized. The transcript has 3 exons. The record is from RefSeq and is a predicted model, not a curated record. NCBI's taxonomy places the organism in Eukaryota, Viridiplantae, Streptophyta, Magnoliopsida, Lamiales, Lamiaceae.
CCCACAAAUCUCUCCCACAAAUCUCUCCCAUAUCCCCAACCCCCUUCCCACUAUAUUAAAUCCUAUAUCAGUUAUUCCUUCCCUCAAUCGUUCUCUGCAGUCAAUCCGUCUUCUUCAACUUCUAUCCAAGUAAUCAAAAUUCUCCAGCCCCAAGAACCUGCCUUUCAGCCUUGUGAACUUCAACCCAAAUUCAAUUCAAAGAGGUGAAUCAUCGCAAGGAAAUCGUGAUCGCAAAGGAAAGAACGUAAUUUCAAACUAAGCA